RNAcentral lists this ribosomal RNA (465 nucleotides) under uncultured bacterium. RNAcentral describes it as "partial 16S ribosomal RNA". It matches the Rfam family "Bacterial small subunit ribosomal RNA", at positions 28 to 507 of the family's 1533-position model. The record is from RNAcentral.
GACGAACGCUGGCGGCGUGCUUAACACAUGCAAGUCGUACGGUAAGGCCCUUUCGGGGGUCCACGAGUGGCGGACGGGGGCGUAACACGUGAGUAACCUGCCCACAACAUUGGGAUAACGCUAGGAAACUGGUGCUAAUAAUGGAAAUAUGCCACUGCUGCAUGGGGGGGGAUGGAAAGCUCCUGCGGGUGUGGAUGGACUCGCGGCCUAUCAGCUGGUUGGUGGGGUAGUGGCCUACCAAGGCGGCGACGGGUAGCCGGCCUGUGAGGGUGAGCGGCCACAUUGGGUCUUAGAGACGGCCCAGACUCCGACGUGUGGCAGCAGGGGGGAAUCUUGCACAAUGGGCGCCAGCCUGAUGCAGCAACGCCUCGGGCUGGAUGACGGCCUUCUUGUUGUAAACCGCUUUCAGCAGGGACGAAGCUUGUUGUGACGGUACCUGCAGAAGAAGCACCGGCUAACUACGUG